This 325-nucleotide long non-coding RNA is filed under the name Mytilus galloprovincialis (Mediterranean mussel). Lineage: Eukaryota; Metazoa; Mollusca; Bivalvia; Mytilida; Mytilidae. The record is from RNAcentral.
ACAGAUGAUCUGACCAUACCUCUUUUAAUUUGUUACUGUUUUAAAGUUGAAGGGCUGCUGUCUUGGAACUAUUUUCCAAAUAUUUAUUUUAUUUUUUUUAUAGAUUUCUAUGAAUUUUUGUGGUGUAAGUUUGACUUCAGGAGUCUGGUCAGGUUUGCUGCUGUAAUGGACAAUAUUUAAAGGACAUGCUGUGGUACUAGCAGAAAUAGACUUCUAGACAAAACUCUACAAUAAAUCUAAUUUUGAACAACUGCAGUUCUUAGAUUGAUCUGGUGUCAGACUUCAAAUAUAUUAGAUAAACAUAUCAUACAAUGGCGAACAAAAC